AUCCUAUUGUGAAGACAUUUUUGUAAUAAUUCCUUGAAUUAGUCCCAAGCCUCAUAAAGGUUCAUCAUCAAGUUUUUGGAAUGUAGUGAUCUCAUUUCAAAGCUU
Molecule: non-coding RNA, 105 nt
Organism: Gossypium hirsutum (cotton)
Lineage: Eukaryota; Viridiplantae; Streptophyta; Magnoliopsida; Malvales; Malvaceae
Source: Rfam